GCCCUGUUUUUCUCCAGCCUUCCACCCUAUAUUAGGCCUGCCGGUUCGCCGGCUAUGGAAAUAAAUGACCGUCGCAAUAAACCAUUCGGACCCGGGGGCAGUACCCGGCGCCUCCACCCAAGCCCACCCGAGAGCAGCGGGUUUCGGCGGGGGCGAAACAGGAUCGACGAGGGCGUAAAGGGCGCGUUUUUUCUCGGUAUGGUUCCGCCGAUAUCGGGCCAUGCAAUAGUUGCAAACGACAACUAUGCUCCGGUUGCUCAGGCUGCGUAACGCAGUUUGAAAGACCAAUCUGAAGUCCUAGCGGGUUAAGCUCCGCUAGGCGGGGUCCGGAGGCACCUGGCAACAGAAGCCUCCACU
RNAcentral lists this transfer-messenger RNA (357 nucleotides) under Bradyrhizobium sp. CCBAU 051011. It matches the Rfam family "Alphaproteobacteria transfer-messenger RNA". Rfam says of the family: Bacterial tmRNA, also known as 10Sa RNA or SsrA, is named for its dual tRNA and mRNA-like properties. Its role is to liberate the mRNA from a stalled ribosome. To accomplish this part of the tmRNA is used as a reading frame that ends in a translation stop signal. RNAcentral also lists the same sequence under 2 other names. Lineage: Bacteria; Pseudomonadati; Pseudomonadota; Alphaproteobacteria; Hyphomicrobiales; Nitrobacteraceae. The record is from RNAcentral.